This 2488-nucleotide long non-coding RNA is filed under the name Nicotiana tabacum (common tobacco). Its description in RNAcentral is "long non-coding RNA (NTAB_LNC000540)". The record is from RNAcentral. Lineage: Eukaryota; Viridiplantae; Streptophyta; Magnoliopsida; Solanales; Solanaceae.
CCCUGAAGAACCUGAAGUUAAAGAAAAACCUGAAGAACCAACAGUUGAGGAGAAACCAGAAGAACCAACAGCUGAAGAGAAACCUGAAGAACCAGCAACUAAAGAAAAACAAGUGCAGAUAGGGGAGGAAACAGCUGAAGAACUACCGCUUGAAGAGAAACCUGAAGAACUAACGAUUGAACAGACAGAUGAAAAACUAGUUGUUGAAAAUAAAACUGAAAAACCAGCAAAUAAAGAGGAGAAACCUGAAACGGUAACUCUCCUUAAGCAGUGUCACAGAGUUUAUCCAUCCUAUUAGUUCUAUAUGUGUAACGAAUUCAUAUCUGUUUAUCUAUUGAAAUACUAAGUGAAAAUUUAAAUUUUCUUGCAGAAUUUGCCUAUUGCAGACUCAAAGGACAAGACUGACAUUGCAAUUCCAUGCGAUACCAGCAAUGAUAUUGCUGACUAUGCAACAGUUGAGGAAAAACCUGAAGAACCAGUAGUUGAAGAAAAACAUGAAGAACCUGCAAUUGAAAAGAAAUUUGAAGAACCAGCAGUUAUGGAGAAACCUGAAGAACCAGCGGCAAAGGUAAAACCUGAAGAACCAGCAGGGAAAGAAAAACCUGAAGAGCCAACGGCUGGGGAAAAACCUGAAGAACCAGCAGCAAAUGAGGAACCUGAAAAAUCAGCGAUGAAAGAGAAACCUGAAGAACCAAUUGUUGAGGAGAAACUUGAAGAACCAACUGUUGAAGAGAAACCUGAAAAACCACUGAUUGAAGAAACACCUGAAGAACCAACAUGGGAAGAAACACCUAAAGAACUAGCAUUUGAAGAGAAACCAGAAGAACCAGCAGUUGAAGAGGAGAAACCUGAAAAGGUAACUCUUAUGGAAGAGGUGAGUAUCAAGCAUUAUCACAUAGUUUAUCCAUCUAUGUGCAACAAUUCACAUAUGCUUAUCUAUUGAAAGACUAAAUGAAACUUUAAAUUCUUCUUGCAGAAUAUGCCAGCUGUAGAUUUCAACGACAAGACUGACCGUGAAAUUCAAUGCAAUAACAAUGAUGUUGCUGAAUAUGUAGCAGUUGAGGAAAACCUUGAACCAGCAGUUGAAGAAAAACAUGAAGAACCAACAGUUGAGGAGAAACCUGAAGAACUAGCAGUUGAAGAGAAACCCGAAAAACCAACAAUUGAGGAGAAACCUGAAGAACUAGCAGUUGAAGAGAAACCCGAAAAACCAACAAUUGAGGAGAAACAUGAAGAACCAAUAGUUGAGAAGAAACCUGAAGAAUCAAUAAUUGAAAAGGAGAAAUCUGAAAGGGUAACUUUCCUAGAAAAGGUGAGGAUCAAGCAUUGUCAAAAGGUUUAUCCAUCUUAUUACUAUUAGUUGUGUAUGUGCAACAAUUCACAUCUGCUUACCUAUUGAAAGACCAAGUGAAACUUCAAAAUUCUUCUUGCAGAGUAUGCUAGUUGUAGACUCGAACGACAAGACUGACAGUGAACUUCCAUGCAAUACCAACAACGAUGCUGCCCACUUUCCAGAAGUUGAGGGAAACCCCGAAGAACCAGCAAUUGAAGGAAAAUCUAAAGAACUUGUUGAUGAAGAGACACCUGAUGUACCAGUGGUUGAGAAACCUGAAAAACAAAUGGUUGAGGAGAAACUUGAAGAACCAAUGAUUGAGGAGAAAUCUGACGAACUAGUCGAGGAGAAAUCUCAACAACCAGCGGCUGAAAAGAAACCUGAAGAACCAGCAGCUAAAGAAUCACCUAAAGAGGUAGCAGGGGAGGAAACAUCUGAAGAACUAGCACUUGAAGAGAAACUUAAAGAACCAACAGUUGAAGAGAUACCUAAAGAACUAGUUCUUGAAGAUAAACCUGGAAACCCAGAAAAUGAAGAGGAUAAACUUGAAACAGUAACUCUCCAGGAAAAGGUAAGAAACAAGCAGUGUCACAGAGUUUAUCCAUCCUAUUAGCUCUAUAUAUGCAACGAAUUCACAUCUGUUUAUCCACUGAAAGACCAAGUGAAACUUUAAAUUUUCUUGCAGAAUUUACCAAUUGCAGACUCAAAGGACAAGACUGACAAUGCAACUCCCUACAACAACAAUGAUAUUGCUGACUAUGUAGCAGUUAAGGAAAAAACUGAAGAACCAGUAGUUGAGGAAAAACAUGAAGAACCGGCAAUUGAAGAGAAAUCUGAAGAAUCAGCAUUAAUGAAAAAAACUGAAGAACCAGCGGUUGAGGUAAAACCUGAAGAACCGUCAGUGGAAAAGAAGCCUGAAGAACCAGCGGUUAGGAAAAAACCUGAAGAACCAGCAGUUAAUGAGGAACCUGAAAAAUCAGCAACGGAAGAGAAACCUGAAGAACCAAUUGUUGAGGAGAAACUUGAAGAACCAACUCUUGAAGAGAAACCUGGAAAAUCAGUAAUUGAAGAAACACCUGAAGAACCAACACUGGAAGUAACACCUAAAGAACAAGCGUUUAAAGAGAAACCAGAAGAACCAGCAGUUGAAGAGGA